This 439-nucleotide ribosomal RNA is filed under the name uncultured eukaryote. Its description in RNAcentral is "bacterial SSU rRNA". It matches the Rfam family "Eukaryotic small subunit ribosomal RNA", at positions 14 to 434 of the family's 1831-position model. The record is from RNAcentral.
CUGACGGUAGUCGUAUGCUCGUCUCCGAGACUAAGCCAUGCAAGUCCAAGUACACGUCCGUGAACGACGGAAACUGCGAACGGCUCAUUAAAUCAGUUGCGAUCUACUCGGCGUUCCGCGCCGCCGGAUAACCGUAGUAAUUCUAGGGCUAAUACGUGCGAAGCGCCCGAAGCCGCGAGGCGACGGGCGUGCUCGCCGGAUACGGAACCGACCCGGGGACCGCCGGGGCAACCCGGCGCCCCCGAGACGGGGCGAACCACGGUGAAACGACGGAUCGUCGGCCCCGCGCCGGCGACUCGCCGAAUGAGUUUCUGACCUAUCAACUCGAGACGGCGGGGUAGAGGCCCGCCGCGGUAACGACGGGUAACGGGGAAUCAGGGUUCGAUUCCGGAGAGGGAGCCCGAGAAACGGCUACCACUUCCAAGGAAGGCAGCAGGCG